AAACCMACAGGGAUUGCCUUAGUAGCGGCGAGUGAAGCGGCAAGAGCUCAAAUUUGAAAUCUGGUACCUUCGGUGCCCGAGUUGUAAUUUGAAGAAAGCUAUCUUGGAUUUGGCCUUUGUCUAUGUUCCUUGGAACAGGACGUCACAGAGGGUGAGAAUCCCGUGCGAUGAGGUGUCCAUUUCUAUGUAAGAUGUUUUCGAAGAGUCGAGUUGUUUGGGAAUGCAGCUCUAAGUGGGUGGUAAAUUCCAUCUAAAGCUAAAUAUUGGCGAGAGACCGAUAGCGAACAAGUACAGUGAUGGAAAGAUGAAAAGAACUUUGAAAAGAGAGUGAAAAAGUACGUGAAAUUGUUGAAAGGGAAGGGUAUUAGAUCAGACUUGGUAUUUAGUUAUCAUUACUCCUUGUGGGUGGUGCUCUAGCUUUUUACUGGGCCAGCAUCAGUUUUGGUGACAGGAUAAUAGCAAUUGAAUGUGGCUCUUCGGAGUGUUAUAGCUUUUGUUGAUACUGUCUACUGGGACUGAGGUCUGCGGCUUUGCCUAGGAUGCUGGCGUAAUGAUCCAAUACCGC
Molecule: ribosomal RNA, 565 nt
Filed under: Ogataea sonorensis
Lineage: Eukaryota; Fungi; Ascomycota; Pichiomycetes; Pichiales; Pichiaceae
Description: eukaryotic LSU rRNA
Rfam family: Eukaryotic large subunit ribosomal RNA
Source: RNAcentral